GGCACUUGAAUGCCGCCUUGGCUUGGAAAGCUCUGUAACCUGAUGUUCAUAAAAUGGGGGAAGAAAACAGCGGGGGAAGGUGUUUCUUGUUCUGGUUGAAUUGCUUUUCAUGCUCAUUUUUUCCUCGUUUUUUCCCCUUCUUGAUGUUCGUUGGGGGGGGGGGGGGAUUUGGAGAACUUUGGAAGAAGAGGAAGAAAUGUAUUGUAUUGCAAUAGCUGCUCCUGGGAGCCUGUCAAUGGAGCCUCGUGCUCGGCGCUGUACAUAUCACAAAGUGUUUGUUUUGUUGCGUCGAAGAGGAGACGGACGGCUGCGGUUGCAGUGGAAAGAGAAAAGCAGGCACUCAACCUUGAGCUCAGCCGCCCCCAGCCCAGCGGAGCCUGGCCCGGGAAGACCGUGACCCUGCAAGGGAAGCAGGCUACCAACAUGCCGAAUACAGCCAAGCCAGCCGGGCCGGCGAUUGCUGUGCAGUGCAGCCAAGGACCCCGGGACAGGCAGAGGCCCUGGCUAAAGCAGAUGGCCCUCGGCAAAGAAGAAACGUGCCUAGGGGGGAGGAUUAACCCCAUUGCUCCCCUGGCCCCCGCAUGUGUGGGGCGAACACGGGCGCAGGGUGCAAUUCGGGCUCCCUGGGAACCCAUGGCAGUGAUUUCGGCUGCAGGGGCAGAGCGGGGAGUCGCCCUCCAGGCCAGGAGCAGCGUGUCCCUGAUGGAGUUCAAAGGAAGCAUUUGUCCUCCUCUGGUCUCCGUCUUCCCCCGCCCACCAGGCUCUCCCAGCCGGUCCCCAUUUCCCAAGCCCUGGUGUCUGCUUCAGGGCUCCCCCUGCGAGGGCCGGUGUUGCAUUCAGGGAAUGGGUGCGGGCUGAUUUACCUCUGUCCGUUUCCCUCCUAGACCGUGGAUUCUGGAAGGGGAGGAAGAAUAAUGCCAUUCUCUUCUCGUCAAUUGCAUUUACACAAUGCCCCCCCCGCCCCCAUUGUAAUACCCCCUUGUGGCACAGUGAAAAGGGAAGCCCCUCUUUCCUGGGCGGCUUUAGCUUGGCUGGGAGGCCGUUUCUGCGCUCCAGCUAGAGGGAAAAGCUCCCCCUUUGGACCCCCUCUGCAAUAAACUUCCACAAACCACGGGGUUGUUUUGCUGUUUUUCCCCUUUUCAAAAAAGUCCUGAUUUUUCAGACGACAUGUUCUCCUUUUGACCGCAAUCCUCUCUGUGCCUGUCAUAUUCAAUAUGGAACAAUGCAAGCGCGUCCCAUACGCAUCGGCUCCAUAUACUGUGAGAAGGAGACAGAGAUUGUAACCGAGCACACACCGCCAGCUUGCGUGGGACGUAUGCCUGUGGACGAGACAGCCUGUUAUAAUAUCAACUGUGUAGAUUAGCUAAACGGGGAGGCUAAUUACGUGCCAGUGAUCGGAAGAAAAAAUGGCCUGACUGACUAAAAGGGGAGACGUGGGAAAGAAAAGCCAAAAAUCUCAUCUUCCUCGUCUCCAAGAUCCGGUGGAGCCGGGCCGGUGAGACACAGAGCAGAAGCUGGCUCGGUUAUUUGGCUUCUGGUCAUUAAACCAAAAAAGAGCGUGGAAUUAAAACACAAGCCCAGGGAAAGCCAUAAGGGGACCCUCACCCCAGCUCUUCCAGCCAAAUCCAGGAGAUCCUUGCCAAAGGGAGAGCUGCCAGACCCUUCCCUCCCCGCUGGGAGCUCUGGGUGCCUUCCUGGGCUGGGAUGAAGCUUUAA
Chelonia mydas (Green sea turtle) is the source of this 1716-nucleotide long non-coding RNA. RefSeq lists it as uncharacterized. The transcript is spliced from 2 exons. Lineage: Eukaryota; Metazoa; Chordata; Testudines; Cheloniidae. The record is from RefSeq and is a predicted model, not a curated record.